UACGAAGGGGGCUAGCGUUGUUCGGAAUCACUGGGCGUAAAGCGCACGUAGGCGGAUUGUUAAGUCGGGGGUGAAAUCCUGAGGCUCAACCUCAGAACUGCCUUCGAUACUGGCGAUCUUGAGUCCGGAAGAGGUUGGUGGAACAGCUAGUGUAGAGGUGAAAUUCGUAGAUAUUAGCUAGAACACCAGUGGCGAAGGCGGCCAACUGGUCCGGAACUGACGCUGAGGUGCGAAAGCGUGGGGAGCAAAAGGG
Molecule: ribosomal RNA, 253 nt
Filed under: uncultured bacterium
Lineage: Bacteria
Description: partial 16S ribosomal RNA
Rfam family: Bacterial small subunit ribosomal RNA
Source: RNAcentral